This 593-nucleotide ribosomal RNA is filed under the name Trichoderma atroviride. RNAcentral's name for it is "eukaryotic LSU rRNA". The stretch from base 212 to 365 matches the Rfam family "5.8S ribosomal RNA". The record is from RNAcentral. Lineage: Eukaryota; Fungi; Ascomycota; Sordariomycetes; Hypocreales; Hypocreaceae.
CCGUUGCUGACAGCGGAGGGUCAUUACCGAGUUUACAACUCCCAAACCCAAUGUGAACCAUACCAAACUGUUGCCUCGGCGGGGUCACGCCCCGGGUGCGUCGCAGCCCCGGAACCAGGCGCCCGCCGGAGGGACCAACCAAACUCUUUUCUGUAGUCCCCUCGCGGACGUUAUUUCUUACAGCUCUGAGCAAAAAUUCAAAAUGAAUCAAAACUUUCAACAACGGAUCUCUUGGUUCUGGCAUCGAUGAAGAACGCAGCGAAAUGCGAUAAGUAAUGUGAAUUGCAGAAUUCAGUGAAUCAUCGAAUCUUUGAACGCACAUUGCGCCCGCCAGUAUUCUGGCGGGCAUGCCUGUCCGAGCGUCAUUUCAACCCUCGAACCCCUCCGGGGGGUCGGCGUUGGGGACCUCGGGAGCCCCUAAGACGGGAUCCCGGCCCCGAAAUACAGUGGCGGUCUCGCCGCAGCCUCUCCUGCGCAGUAGUUUGCACAACUCGCACCGGGAGCGCGGCGCGUCCACGUCCGUAAAACACCCAACUUCUGAAAUGUUGACCUCGGAUCAGGUAGGAAUACCCGCUGAACUUAAGCAUAUCAAA